ACAUGCAAGUCGAGCGAUGAAGCACCUUCGGGUGUGAAUUAGCGGCGAACGGGUGAGGAACACGUGAGAAAUCUGCCUUCAACACUGGGAUAACUCCGGAAACCGGGGCUAAUACCGGAUAUGAAAUCUGCGGGCAUCCGCGGAUUUGGGAAGUUUUCGGUUGAAGAUGGUCUCGCGGCCUAUCAGCUAGUUGGUGAGGUAAAGGCUCACCAAGGCGACGACGGGUAGCCGGCCUGGGAGGGCGACCGGCCACACUGGGACUGAGACACGGCCCAGACUCC
RNAcentral lists this ribosomal RNA (281 nucleotides) under unidentified marine bacterioplankton. RNAcentral describes it as "partial 16S ribosomal RNA". It matches the Rfam family "Bacterial small subunit ribosomal RNA", at positions 53 to 339 of the family's 1533-position model. The record is from RNAcentral.